UCGCCGAAAGCGCAAGGUUUCCUACGCAACGUUCAUCGGCGUAGGGUGAGUCGGCCCCUAAGGCGAGGCAGAGAUGCGUAGCUGAUGGGAAACAGGUAAAUAUUCCUGUACCGAUCAAUAGUGCGAUGUGGGGACGGAGAAGGUUAGCUCAGCCAACUGUUGGAAUAGUUGGUUCAAGCGUGUAGUCGUGCUCUUUAGGCAAAUCCGGAGAGCUUAGAUGAGGCGUGAUAACGAGUCUGCUUGCAGACGAAGUGAGUGAUACCUGCUUCCAGGAAAAGCCACUAAGCUUCAGCUAUUGACGACGUACCGCAAACCGACACUGGUGCGCGAGAUGAGUAUUCUAAGGCGCUUGAGAGAACUCUGGAGAAGGAACUCGGCAAAUUGACACCGUAACUUCGGAAGAAGGUGUGCCUCUAGUAUGUGUAGAGAUUUACUCUCGAAGCAGAAUGGGGCCGCAGAGAAUCGGUGGCUGCAACUGUUUAUUAAAAACACAGCACUCUGCAAAGACGAAAGUCGACGUAUAGGGUGUGACUCCUGCCCGGUGCUGGAAGAUUAAAUGAUGGGGUGCAAGCUCUUGACUGAAGUCCCAGUAAACGGCGGCCGUAACUAUAACGGUCCUAAGGUAGCGAAAUUCCUUGUCGGGUAAGUUCCGACCUGCACGAAUGGAGUAAUGAUGGCCACACUGUCUCCUCCAGAGACUCAGCGAAGUUGAAAUGUUUGUGAUGAUGCAAUCUCCCCGCGGAAAGACGGAAAGACCCCAUGAACCUUUACUGUAGCUUUACAUUGGACUUUGAACAGAUCUGUGUAGGAUAGGUGGGAGGCUUUGAAGUGAGGACGCUAGUUCUCAUGGAGCCAACGUUGAAAUACCACCCUGGUGUGUUUGAGGUUCUAACCUUGGUCCCUUAUCGGGAUUGGGGACAGUGUAUGGUGGGCAGUUUGACUGGGGCGGUCUCCUCCCAAAGUGUAACGGAGGAGUUCGAAGGUACGCUAAAUACGGUCGGAAAUCGUGUUGAUAGUGCAUUGGCAUAAGCGUGCUUGACUGCGAGACUGACAAGUCGAGCAGGUACGAAAGUAGGACAAAGUGAUCCGGUGGUUCUGUAUGGAAGGGCCAUCGCUCAACGGAUAAAAGGUACUCUGGGGAUAACAGGCUGAUACCGCCCAAGAGUUCAUAUCGACGGCGGUGUUUGGCACCUCGAUGUCGGCUCAUCUCAUCCUGGGGCUGUAGCCGGUCCCAAGGGUAUGGCUGUUCGCCAUUUAAAGAGGUACGUGAGCUGGGUUUAAAACGUCGUGAGACAGUUUGGUCCCUAUCUUCCGUGGGCGCUGCAAGAUUGAGAGAGCCUGCUCCUAGUACGAGAGGACCGGAGUGGACGCACCUCUGGUGUAUCGGUUGUCACGCCAGUGGCAUCGCCGAGUAGCUAAGUGCGGAAGAGAUAACCGCUGAAAGCAUCUAAGCGGGAAACUCGUCUCAAGAUGAGUCUUGCCGGGGCCUUGAGCCCCCUGAAGGGUCGUUCGAGACCAGGACGUUGAUAGGCUGGGUGUGGAAGCGCAGUAAUGCGUUAAGCUAACCAGUACUAAUUGCCCGUGAGGCUUGACCCUAUAACUUUG
This 1605-nucleotide ribosomal RNA is filed under the name Kinneretia aquatilis. RNAcentral describes it as "bacterial LSU rRNA". It matches the Rfam family "Bacterial large subunit ribosomal RNA", at positions 1334 to 2925 of the family's 2925-position model. Lineage: Bacteria; Pseudomonadati; Pseudomonadota; Betaproteobacteria; Burkholderiales; Sphaerotilaceae. The record is from RNAcentral.